GACGAACGCUGGCGGCGUGCUUAACACAUGCAAGUCGAACGGAAAGGCCCUGCUUUUGUGGGGUGCUCGAGUGGCGAACGGGUGAGUAACACGUGAGUAACCUGCCCUUGACUUUGGGAUAACUUCAGGAAACUGGGGCUAAUACCGGAUAGGAGCUCCUGCUGCAUGGUGGGGGUUGGAAAGUUUCGGCGGUUGGGGAUGGACUCGCGGCUUAUCAGCUUGUUGGUGGGGUAGUGGCUUACCAAGGCUUUGACGGGUAGCCGGCCUGAGAGGGUGACCGGCCACAGAGGGACUGAGAUACGGCCAAGACGCAUACGGGAGGCAGCAGUGGAGAAUAGUGCACAAUGGGCGGAGGCCGGAUGCAGCAUCGCCGGGUGCGAGAUGACGGCCUUCGGGGUGUAAACAGCUUUCGCGUGUGACGAAGCGUGAGGGACGGUAAUGGGUAAAGAGGCACCGGCUAACUACGU
This 467-nucleotide ribosomal RNA is filed under the name uncultured bacterium. RNAcentral's name for it is "partial 16S ribosomal RNA". It matches the Rfam family "Bacterial small subunit ribosomal RNA", at positions 28 to 506 of the family's 1533-position model. The record is from RNAcentral.